GAUGAACGCUGGCGGCGUGCCUAAUACAUGCAAGUCGAGCGAACAGAUAAGGAGCUUGCUCCUUUGACGUUAGCGGCGGACGGGUGAGUAACACGUGGAUAACCUACCUAUAAGACUGGGAUAACUUCGGGAAACCGGAGCUAAUACCGGAUAAAAUAUUGAACCGCAUGGUUCAAUAGUGAAAGGCGGCUUUGCUGUCACUUAUAGAUGGAUCCGCGCCGUAUUAGCUAGUUGGUAAGGUAACGGCUUACCAAGGCAACGAUACGUAGCCGACCUGAGAGGGUGAUCGGCCACACUGGAACUGAGACACGGUCCAGACUCCUACGGGAGGCAGCAGUAGGGAAUCUUCCGCAAUGGGCGAAAGCCUGACGGAGCAACGCCGCGUGAGUGAUGAAGGUCUUCGGAUCGUAAAACUCUGUUAUCAGGGAAGAACAAAUGUGUAAGUAACUGUGCACAUCUUGACGGUACCUGAUCAGAAAGCCACGGCUAACUACGUG
RNAcentral lists this ribosomal RNA (497 nucleotides) under uncultured bacterium. Its description in RNAcentral is "partial 16S ribosomal RNA". It matches the Rfam family "Bacterial small subunit ribosomal RNA", at positions 28 to 507 of the family's 1533-position model. The record is from RNAcentral.